GGUCUUCGGACCUAGUGGCGCACGGGUGAGUAACAUGUGGGAAUCUACCUGAAGGUUCGGAAUAACUGCGGGAAACUGUAGCUAAUACCGGAUGUGUCUGCAAAGAGAAAGAUUUAUCGCCUUCAGAUGAGCCCGCAAUAGAUUAGCUAGUUGGUGAGGUAACUGCUCCACCAAGGCUACGAUCUAUAGCUGAUUUGAGAGGAUGAUCAGCCACACUGGGACUGAGACACGGCCCAGACUCCUACGGGAGGCAGCAGUAGGGAAUAUUGGACAAUGGGGGAAACCCUGAUCCAGCAAUGCCGCGUGAGUGAAGAAGGCCUUCGGGUUGUAAAACUCUUUCAUCAAUGAUGAUAAUGACAUUAGUUGAAGAAGAAGCUCCGGCUAACUUCGUGCCAGCAGCCGCGGUAAUACGAAGGGGGCUAGCGUUGUUCGGAAUCACUGGGCGUAAAGCGUAUGUAGGCGGAUCAAAAAGUUAGAUGUGAAAUCCCUGGGCUCAACCCAGGAACUGCAUUUAAAACUAGUGAUCUAGAAUUUGGUAGGGGUUAGUAGAAUUUCCAGUGUAGAGGUGAAAUUCGUAGAUAUUGGAAAGAAUACCAGUGGCGAAGGCGACUAACUGGGCCAUUUUUGACGCUGAGAUACGAAAGCGUGGGUAGCAAACAGGAUUAGAUACCCUGGUAGUCCACGCAGUAAACGAUGAGUGCUAGUCGCUGGGACAAUAGUUUCAGUGUCGAAGCUAACGCAUUAAGCACUCCGCCUGGGAAGUACGGUCGCAAGAUUAAAACUCAAAU
RNAcentral lists this ribosomal RNA (788 nucleotides) under marine metagenome. Its description in RNAcentral is "bacterial SSU rRNA". It matches the Rfam family "Bacterial small subunit ribosomal RNA", at positions 72 to 906 of the family's 1533-position model. The record is from RNAcentral.